Molecule: long non-coding RNA, 457 nt
Filed under: Physcomitrium patens
Lineage: Eukaryota; Viridiplantae; Streptophyta; Bryopsida; Funariales; Funariaceae
Description: long non-coding RNA (PPAT_LNC006493)
Source: RNAcentral
AGCCAAAAAUUACGUCGAUCCAACUAGUAGAUCUUCAGAUAUCACAGAAACCCUAUCCAUCCCUAGACUGCCAACUUCGGACAACCUUUUGUACUAAAACCCAUAUAUCUCUUGAUUGCAUCGUUAGAUUAACACAAAUUUUUGUAUACACUUAGCACACCCAACUAUCCAGACAAUACCAAAUUUUGAUCCAUAGAUGCUACACGACUUGCACAAACCGAUUGAGAAUGCAAACCAUCAAUGUUUUAUAUAAAAUCUGAAACACCAAAAUAAACACUGACUUUGAGCAGCAAUUGCUCUCCCCUCACAAAUCCUAAUGAAACCAAACUAGUGACCUUGAAAAGAACUUGAAGCUAGCUCUUUGAUCCAAAAACCCGAUCUGAAAAAACCCCCUGUAUUUUGUCCUAGGCGGCCGUUUUAGUGGCUGGAGGUCGGAUUUCGACCCUGUCUCAUAUCC